RNAcentral lists this transfer RNA (77 nucleotides) under Rhodanobacter sp. SCN 66-43. RNAcentral's name for it is "tRNA-Arg". It matches the Rfam family "tRNA". From Rfam's summary of the family: Transfer RNA (tRNA) molecules are approximately 80 nucleotides in length. Their secondary structure includes four short double-helical elements and three loops (D, anti-codon, and T loops). Lineage: Bacteria; Pseudomonadati; Pseudomonadota; Gammaproteobacteria; Lysobacterales; Rhodanobacteraceae. RNAcentral also lists the same sequence under 4 other names. The record is from RNAcentral.
GCGCCCGUAGCUCAAUUGGAUAGAGCAUCGGCCUUCUAAGCCGACGGUUGCUGGUUCGAUUCCAGUCGGGCGCGCCA